UGCAGCCACAUUCGUUCCAUUUUUAUCUCUUCACUAAUUUUUACUAUCAUUUAUUUCAUGUUUAUCUCUCAAAAUCAGUUCACUUAUCUACUUCCUCGACCAUUCUCAAUCUUGCAUAAACAUUCUCUGCAAAGCUUUUUUUUCCUAACAACUCACCCCCAAAAUUUAGCCAACUCAAAUACUCUCUUGCUUUUGUAAAUUUCCAGCUUGUUCUUCUCCAAAUCGGUAAGUUUAUUUCCCCAAAUUUCAAUUCAUAAAGAACUUCUGAAACUCUGUCAAUUUCUAAAAUCUCAGCAACGAAAACAUUCAGCCUCUUGCAUCCAAGAAAUCACACACACCAAAGCAUAAUCAUUCUAUUUUCUGCAAUACUCCAACACUUUUACUGUUUUACAUGAAAAAUCAAAAGAAAAUGAAAGAAUUAAAAGAAUAAUAGUAAGAAAUUAGAAGAAAAGAAAAGGAAAUGAAUGGAAGAAUUGUUGGUGAAGAUUGUUGUUGCCGGAGAGGUGAAAGGGGGAGGCAGCCUGACCGGCUGCUGCUGUCUGUCGAGGGGCGGCAAGGGCCGCUGCUGUCGGCCAAAGGAGAGAGAGAGGCAGGGGCAGUGGUGGCGCUGGCAGGCGGCGAAGGUCGCCGCCGGAGAAAUGAGUGGCCGCGGCUGGGCGCGGUGAGGAGAGGGACAGAGGGAGGCGGGAGAUGAGGGAGGGAAGUCGACGGAGAGGGAGAGAUGAGGGAAGAGGGAGAGAGGUUGAGGAGAGGACAGGGGAGCCAGAGCCGCCGGCCUCCGGCGGCGGCGUGCCGUCUGGUGGCGGCGGCAGGAGGCCGAGAAGAGGAGAGGGAGGAGGGCUGAGAGAGGGUGAGCUGCGUGAGAUGUGUGUGUCGUGGGACUUAGGAGUGUGAUUAAAUUGGGGUGAAGGGAAGUUUGGGCUUGGGCUUAGGUUAAUGGGCUCAAUUUAUUAAAUGGUUGGGCUUAACUCUAUUUAUAAUAUGGCUGCAUUUGCAUAUAUUUUUACAAAUGAUAUUAUUAAAUUUUAUAUUCGAAUUUGUGUUAUUAAUUUGAACUUAGUUUUACUUAAAUAUUGAGCUCAAAUAUUUUUAUAAGAAAAGUUCUUUUAUAAUUUAUUGGAUCGAUGAUUUUUAAAAGGUUUUAUGAUAAUAAAUUCUUAUGAUUUAAACUACUAUUAUUAUUAUUUUAAAGUUCAAUUAGGUCCUUAUGUUUUAUUAUUUGAAUUUAUCUAACUAGGUGCGGCGCGACUAGGACGUAACUUUUGAUUGAAUUUCUCAAAGUUAGCCUUCAAGUUCAAGUUACAGGUGUGGGAUUUAUUUCAGUAUAUGCUGUGGUUAAUCUUUGUCCAUUUUAAUAUUAUGUGUUUACCAUAUGUGAGUUACAUUAAAUUAUAUCGCUAGGGGCCCGUUGAAUGGGUCCAGGAUGGUAAAGAUCCUUGGUAUGCCACAAUGCGAUAUACAUGUUAAAGUUAUGGUUGCAACCAGUCGCCAGGGGCCGGCUGAAUCGGUCCAGGACGGAAAGGUCCUUGGUAUGCCACCGUGCGACUUUCAGUUACGAAUGUUUGAUCAUAUGUGUUUCCAUUUUAUUAACGUGGACAAUGAUUGCAUGUUCCCACACUGAGUGUACCCUGUAUACUCAUCCCAUAUUUAACAUUUUCAGGUUUUAAAGGCCGGAGGCGCGUGGAAGGUCGAAUGACGAAUCAAAUAUUUUGAAUUUAGUUUUUCUUAAAAAUGUUAUGUUUAGUAAAGUAUUUUAAAAUAAGAUAUUUAUUUCUUUAUUUUCAUAUUAAAUAUUUAUUUAUAGUCAUGAUUUUCCACGUGUGUUUUCAUUUAAAAUUAAAAUGGAUUUGGGUGUCACAACAGGCAUGCACAAGCCCAAAAAAUAUCCAUACCUCGAGUAAAACAAGCAUCAUUACAACAAGUUGCAUAUAACAUAUGCAUUCUUAAUAAUAACUUUAUAAAAACUGAAAUUUAAAACAAUCCCUCCAUUAUAUAUCUUCCAUAAAAUUUAUAUAUUUUUUCUUCUUAUUUAUUUAUAUAUAUAUAUAUAUAUAUAAUCUUUAAUCUCACAUUGUUCUUUUAUAAAACUUCAUUAAAUAAAACUUUAUAUAGAAUGAUAUUUUAUUAUAUCAACUAAAUUUUGAUAUUUAAUUGACAAAAAUAAUCUUAUCAUGUCGAAAUAAAAUUCUAUUUAACUAAUUUAUGAAUGGUUAGACUGUGGAUGCAAAUUUGCAUCCACAUUCUAACCAUUCAUAAAUUAGUUAAAUAGAAUUUUAUUUAUUUUAAAUAAAAAUAGAAUUAAUUGUUUUAUUAUAUUAUAUAUAUUUCACUUAUUUUUUUUAUACUUUUUGUUUUUAUUUUAUUUUAAAAAAAUAAAAGUUUAUUAUAAAAUUAUAAAAAAUAGUCACACUUAUUAUUUUUACCCUUCACAUAAAAAACUUAAAAUUUAUCCAUUAAUUUUUUAGUGUGUUAAUUCGAGUUUUUGGGCUCGAAUUCACGACCAAGACCAAUUCUAGUUAUGAGUUUUUAACUUUAAAAGUUAAAAUUAUAAUUCACAAUUAAGACUAUUUCUAGUUGUACAUUAUAUCUUUAAAACUCGAAUUCAUAACAAUUUUUUAUUCGAGUUCUAGUUUUAAAACUCGAACUCACAACCAAAAUAAUUAGUUGUGAAUUCUAGUGUUAAACUCGAAUUCACAAUCGAUAUAUAUUCGAGUUGUGAAUUCUAUUUUUAAAAUUCGAAUUCACAAUGAAGACAAUUAGUUGUAAAUUCAAACUUUAAAAGUCGAACUCAUAUCCAACAUUAGCGAUUCAAUUGCGAAUUUAUCGAACUGAUUGUGAAUUCAAGAAUAUUAAUCAUUCAAACGUCACAAAAUUAUAGUGAUUCACUCCACGAUUAGGUAGAGGGCUAUGCUAAUAAAUCUGAAGACGGUAAAACAUUUCAUCAAAUAAUUGAUAAGAAUAUAUCGAUUUUCAAUCGAACUGAAGUUGAAGAUCCAUAAAAAUAUCGCAAAUUCUUGGGUCAGGCGGGUCUGACCCGCCGCCUGACCCGCGCCCGAACCUGAAGCCCUGACCCGCGCCUCCCUCCCCACCUAAAUCCUAAAAAGUAACUAUUGUUAUAAUAAAAAGUAAUUAUUAUUAUGAAGAAAUGUAAUGUUUUUAAAUUAUUACAUUUGUUCACGAUAAUUGUUACUUUUAUUCAUUAGAAUUUGUACUUUUCGUUAUUUGAUCAAAUAAAUGUAUAUUUAGGGUUUAAUAUUCAAGGUUUAGGGUUUACUAUUCUCAUUAGGGUUUAGUAUUCAUUAUUUAGGGUUUAAUAUUCAAGGUUUAAGGUUUAGUAUUCAGUGUUUAGGGCUUAAUAUUGAUUAUUUAGGGUUUAGUAUUCAGGAUUUAGGGUGUAGAAAAAUAUUGAAUGAUAGGAAAUAUUUAUAUUGACAUAAGUAUACAUUUGUGCAUACAAAUGUAUAUCUUAGGAUAAAUAAAAGUAAAUAUUUCCAUUAAGGUUUAGUAUUCAUUAUUUAAUUAGAGAAAAAUAAUCAUUUAUAUGAAUAAAUGUAAUAUUUAAAAAAAUAGAAUAAAUGAAAAAAAUAGAAAAAAAAAUUAAUUAUUCAUAUGAAAUGUAAUAUUUUGAAACAUUACAUUUGUUCAGAUUGAUUACUACUCCCCCCAUCCACUAAUUUAAGACCUAGGAGCCAAAACACAAGUUUUAAGAAAAAAUAUACUUUUAUUAGUUGGGUGGAGAAAGGGACCUACAAAAUGUAUUGUUUAUUGGUUGAGUGGAAAAAGGGACCCACAAAGUAUAUUGUUUAUUAGUUGAGUGGAGAAAAAGUGUAUUGUUUAUUGGGACCCACCAAUUAAAAUAUAAAUAAAAACUUACUAAAAAUAGAUAGGCCUUGAGUUGGUGGACGGACCAAAAAGGAAAGUAGGCCUUGAAUUAGUGGACAGAUGGAGUACUUUUCUUCAUAACAAUGAUUACUUUAUAUAUGCGUCCAGCCCUAACCCUAAACUUUCGGGUUUCGGGCUAGCCCAUCGGGCUAAUCAGGUUAAAGGAGUAAAAAUAAAAUUAUCAUUUGUAUUUUAUUAUUCCUAAUGAUCUAAUGUAUAAUGUAUAAAAUAUACAUAGAUAUUAAAGAUAUAAAUUAUAUAGCAAAGCAUGAAAUGCAAAAAUAUAAGAUAUUCAAGGUUACAUAAACAAAAUUAUAUUAAAAUGAGAUAGUAAAAUUUAACAUGUAUCAAUGCACUAGAAUUAAUCUGGAUUAUUACUGAAUAAUUAGUGGAUUUGCCAUGCACGUCUCAUUGACAGAAAAAAAAAAUGGUAUCACUUUAAAAUGAGAUACUAAUAAUUAAUUUCUAACUAAUGAGAUACUAAUAAUCAAUUUCUACAAAAAAAUCCGUAAUUAAUUUCACUUUUUUUAAUGAGAUUGCGCACACACACAUAUAUAUUCUAACUAAUUAGUUUCACUUUUUUUAAUGAGGCUACAUAUAUAUUUAAGCAAAUACCAUAGAUCUAAACAUAGCAGAAGUUGUAACGGGAUGCAUCAGUCACAAUUCUGUCAGCCCACCGGGUUUUCGGGCUAGCCCUAUCGGGUUCCGGGUUAGUCAGGUAUGAGCUAAUCGGGCUGGAGGUUUUUUCGGGUUGCAAUUUUUCAACCCUAACCCUCUAAUUUUGUCGGGUUAUUCGGAUCGGCCCACGGGUUUCGGGCUGCAUUGACAUCCCUAAUUAGAACUAUAUAAUCACGUACGACGUCAAAUUUUGAAACUAGACAAUGAAUAUAGUUAUUGCAUCUAGGACUAGCUCUAAGGAAAAGAUUCUCAAAAUCAAUAUAUAUAUGAGUAAAUACUUACUAGUAGUUGAUCCAAGAUAAAAACACCCGAAUCUAAUUAUCUAAAUGACCCGAAUCUAAAUGAUCCAGUAAAAUUAGACCAUAAUGGAUCGUAAUUAUCUCUAAUGAUAAUCAUGAUUAGCCAUGCAACGCGAUGUUAUAAUCCAUUCAAAAACAAAAAAAAACAUAGAAAAAUAAAAGUGUUUUCAACUGUGAAUAGCCAAACGGCCCCAGGCUUUUGAUCUAAAGACCGAUAAGAAUUACUUUUAAAUUAAAGAGAUUUGCCACUUAUAAGUUUUGCAUUAUUAUUAAAAUACGAUUUUAUUGAAGAACGAAAAAAAGGAAAAAAUCUAAUGAAAACCCUUGAAAGCAUAGAAGACGCAAACUAAGAGACGAGCCUCGUUAAAACCUUGUUACAAAAAACUGAAAGGAAAAAAUCGUAACCAAAAAAAGAGUGCUCGUCUAAAGAAAAAUCAAAGAAGGAUCACACGGCGACGAGGAUGGGAAUAAUGUGAUUGUGAACUAAUGCCACAUUAUAUGGGAUCUCGAUUGUGAAAUCGGACUUUUAGCAAAUCCCAAAAAGUAUAUAAAUAAAUGAUAAAAAGAAGAAAAUCGCAUGGGGGCAUGAAUGAUUGGAGACUUAUAAACAUUAAGAAAAAUGAAAUAUAUGAUAUGUGAUUAUGAUUAGAAAGAGAGGCGCAUGCACAUCGCAUCACCGAAAAGAAUUAAGCAAUCCCAAUUCAUUUAUCCCUUGUUUGGGGCCCACUACUCAAAUUAUAAUUGCUCUUAAUUUCAAACGAUUCUCUUCGAGGAAAACGCAAUACAUUUUUCAAUCAACCUACUCUGCCUACUUUAUUUAUUUUUAAUUUUAUGAGAUUUAGGGAUGAUCAUGUGAUUCAAUUAACCCUAAUAGGCUACAAAAUAACUUAAAUAUUGAAACUUGAUUGUGGGGUUAGUUCGAGUAUGGUUUAUAGAUUCUGUAUUUAAUAAAUAGUUUUAUAUAUUUAUAAUGAGAGAGAAAUGAGCAUCACUCUUGUUUAGUUUAUGUUAGUAUUAUUUGUUGGAAAUAUGGUUUUUAGACAUUUUCUGGAAUUAAUUAUUUAAUUAAAUAUUUAUUAUUUAAUUAAAAUAAUUAUUGGAUGUUAAUCUACGUCUCGAGUAGAUGAACGUGGUAUACUUGAAGUCUCAAAACCGAUUUCCGGUGAGUGAGAUAUUGUAUAUCAAAGUUUGGAUGUUGAGAAGGGAAAUAACACUUGUGAAGUGUUCUUGUCCCACAUUGGAAAACAAGGGAAGAAUACUCUUGUAUAAGAAUAGCAAUGCUCAUGGAGCUAAUAACUUUUGGGCUUGCUAGUGGGCUUGGAUGAAGGCCUUGGCCUCGCGCGCUGCCGCCGACGAUCGAUCGGACGCCGCCGCCGGACGGGCGGGUCGGGUACGGGCCGCGGCCAAGGACUUGGAUCUUGGCAAUUGGUGCUUUGGGUGGUGUUUGAGCCCAAACUAUAUAAAUUUUUGGACAAAAUACUUUUGGGUUUUUUGGAUUGUUAAUUCUCGGCCCAAUUGUAUUUGUUUUUCAGCCCAACAUAAGCCCAUCCGUUCAGCCCGCCCAAGCUUUUGAAGAGCUGCAAAAGUUUCCGAAACUGCUCAUCUUUUGAAUUCUGGAAUUGAUGCAGAAUGAAUUCUGUAACUUCUGAAUUCAAAUUGUGUAACAUCCCAGCAGUUUUAUGUGGAUUAAUUCCCAUAAUGCAGUCUUUAUUUUCCCCCCUUGAUGAGUAGCCUAUAAAUAGGUCUAGAGCAUGGCCAUUGUUGCUUACAGAAAAUCUGCAUACUCCACUACUCUCUAAAAUCAUUCUUGUGCUCAGUUCUCGAUUCCAUUACGUUCGCCGGAGCUCGCCGGAUUGUGGUGCUACAUCCAACGAGACGUCGUCGUUUUACCUUUGGGGAAGAUUCGCCAACACCGUGAGCACUACCGGGACGAUAAUCUUCUUGCGGGAAGCGAUUCAUCUCGACUCGACGGUUUCUCACGUUUGUUUUAUUCCCAUUGUAUUUUCAUUAUCGUUUCCUUGUUACUUCUAAACCGUUUAUUUUCUUCGUUCAGUUUUUCUAGCUUCGAUUGUUUAGUUUGAGUUGUAAAAGUUCACUCGAUCGUGUACUCCGUUGUAACAUUAUUUUUUGUUUUGCAUUUUUAUUUUGAUUUGAUUACCUUUAAAAUUGUUAAUGACAUCAUUAAAUUGACAAAUUACAUAAAACUCAAAUGUCGAUGGUUCAUUUUCCCUAUAAUUUUAAAUAAACAAAUAAAAGAGAAUAAAAUGAGCUUUGAUUUCAUGUCUGUUUCGUACCACCUCCUUUACUAGAUAUAUACAAG
Molecule: long non-coding RNA, 7179 nt
Filed under: Salvia miltiorrhiza (redroot sage)
Lineage: Eukaryota; Viridiplantae; Streptophyta; Magnoliopsida; Lamiales; Lamiaceae
Description: long non-coding RNA (SMIL_LNC005076)
Source: RNAcentral